Megalops cyprinoides (Indo-Pacific tarpon) is the source of this 148-nucleotide small nucleolar RNA. NCBI's taxonomy places the organism in Eukaryota, Metazoa, Chordata, Actinopteri, Elopiformes, Megalopidae. The record is from RefSeq and is a predicted model, not a curated record.
CUUCAGUGAUGAUACGAUGACGAGUCGGAAUAGGACACAGGCUGUCUCUGGGGCCCUGGCUCAGGGUCACGUUCUGUGUCUCUGGGUUCGGUCUCCAGAGUCGCGGGUCCUCAUCGAUUGAUGACAUUGAGGCAUUUGUCUGAGAAGG